GGGUCAGUAGGCUGGUCGUGCCACCGGUACGUACUGGUCUCACUGAUUCCUCCUUCCUGAAGAACCGUAAUGCCAUUAUUUUGGUGUUGCGGGGAAUCAGGACUGUUACUUUGAAAAAAUUAGAGUGUUUAAAGCAAGCUAACGCUUGAAUACAUUAGCAUGGAAUAAUGAAAUAGGACGAUCGAUCCUAUUUUGUUGGUUUCGAGGAUUGACGUA
Molecule: ribosomal RNA, 216 nt
Filed under: Glomeromycotina sp.
Lineage: Eukaryota; Fungi; Glomeromycota
Description: partial small subunit ribosomal RNA
Rfam family: Eukaryotic small subunit ribosomal RNA (bases 40-216)
Source: RNAcentral